GUCUUCGUAGAGUAUGCAACUCGCUGCCGUGAAGUAGCAUCUCCUGCGAUUGUAGUGUGGCAUAGUCGGUGGUUCGAAUCCACCCGAAGACA
This is a non-coding RNA of Mycena rosella, 92 nucleotides long. The record is from the annotation of a GenBank genome assembly. NCBI's taxonomy places the organism in Eukaryota, Fungi, Basidiomycota, Agaricomycetes, Agaricales, Mycenaceae.